UCCGGUGACGAUAAUGAAGAGGAUACACCCGUUCCCAUCCCGAACACGGCAGUUAAGCUCUUCGAUGCUGAAAAUACUUAGCGGGUGACUGCUUGGGAAGAUAGGAAGUUGCCGGGA
This 117-nucleotide ribosomal RNA is filed under the name Clostridia bacterium. Lineage: Bacteria; Bacillati; Bacillota; Clostridia. The record is from RNAcentral.